Molecule: ribosomal RNA, 505 nt
Filed under: uncultured bacterium
Lineage: Bacteria
Description: partial 16S ribosomal RNA
Rfam family: Bacterial small subunit ribosomal RNA
Source: RNAcentral
GACGAACGCUGGCGGCGUGCCUAAUACAUGCAAGUAGAACGCACAGUUUAUACCGUAGCUUGCUACACCAUAGACUGUGAGUUGCGAACGGGUGAGUAACGCGUAGGUAACCUGCCUGGUAGCGGGGGAUAACUAUUGGAAACGAUAGCUAAUACCGCAUAAUAUUAAUUAUUGCAUGAUAAUUAAUUGAAAGGUGCAAUUGCACCACUACCAGAUGGACCUGCGUUGUAUUAGCUAGUAGGUGAGGUAACGGCUCACCUAGGCGACGAUACAUAGCCGACCUGAGAGGGUGAUCGGCCACACUGGGACUGAGACACGGCCCAGACUCCUAUGGGAGGCAGCAGUAGGGAAUCUUCGGCAAUGGACGAAAGUCUGACCGAGCAACGCCGCGUGAGUGAAGAAGGUUUUCGGAUCGUAAAGCUCUGUUGUAAGAGAAGAACGGGUGUGAGAGUGGAAAGUUCACACUGUGACGGUAUCUUACCAGAAAGGGACGGCUAACUACGUG